RNAcentral lists this transfer RNA (57 nucleotides) under Sus scrofa (pig). It matches the Rfam family "tRNA", at positions 8 to 63 of the family's 71-position model. Rfam says of the family: Transfer RNA (tRNA) molecules are approximately 80 nucleotides in length. Their secondary structure includes four short double-helical elements and three loops (D, anti-codon, and T loops). The record is from Rfam by way of RNAcentral. Lineage: Eukaryota; Metazoa; Chordata; Mammalia; Artiodactyla; Suidae.
UGGUCUAGUGGUUAGGAUACAGUACUUUUACUGCUGCGGCCCAGGUUCAAUCCCUGA